This is a non-coding RNA of Paramuricea clavata, 323 nucleotides long. The record is from the annotation of a GenBank genome assembly. NCBI's taxonomy places the organism in Eukaryota, Metazoa, Cnidaria, Anthozoa, Malacalcyonacea, Plexauridae.
UGGUGUCAUCUGAAUUCUGAAGCUGACAUAUUAAACGAAAAUGUCAACAAAUAGAUUUUGUCUCCCCAUCAGCAGAUUGUUCAGUUGUUCUGCAAUAGGCGUAGCCUUCAAGGUGCCAUUAAAACGAUAUGCCAUUGACUUAGUAUUUCUAUAUAUGAAAUUGUUAUUAAAUUCUACAUGUUCAAUGGAUUCAUUCAAGUAUUAUUAUUGUUUAUACAUAUGGUAUUAUUGUACAGCGGUCAGUAUAAUCUGCAGACCAGACUGGGUACAAAACGCAGACUGAGGAUAAAAUGCAGACCGGGGGUGAAUUAGGGAUAUUUCAC